This 468-nucleotide ribosomal RNA is filed under the name uncultured bacterium. RNAcentral describes it as "partial 16S ribosomal RNA". It matches the Rfam family "Bacterial small subunit ribosomal RNA", at positions 28 to 507 of the family's 1533-position model. The record is from RNAcentral.
GAUGAACGCUGGCGGCGUGCUUAACACAUGCAAGUCGAACGGAAAGGCCCAAGCUUGCUUGGGUACUCGAGUGGCGAACGGGUGAGUAACACGUGGGUGAUCUGCCCUGCACUUCGGGAUAAGCCUGGGAAACUGGGUCUAAUACCGGAUAGGACCACUUCUUGGAUGUUGUGGUGGAAAGUUUUUUCGGUGUGGGAUGAGCUCGCGGCCUAUCAGCUUGUUGGUGGGGUAAUGGCCUACCAAGGCGUCGACGGGUAGCCGGCCUGAGAGGGUGUACGGCCACAUUGGGACUGAGAGACGGCCCAGACUCCUACGGGAGGCAGCAGUGGGGAAUAUUGCACAAUGGGCGCAAGCCUGAUGCAGCGACGCCGCGUGGGGGAUGACGGCCUUCGGGUUGUAAACUCCUUUCGCUAGGGACGAAGCGUUUUUGUGACGGUACCUGGAGAAGAAGCACCGGCUAACUACGUG